AUACUUACCUGGCAGGGAAGGAACCAUGAUCAUGAAGGUGGGUUUUCCCAGGGUAAGGCUUAUUCAUUGUACUAUGAAUGUGCUGACCUCUGCAAUUUCCUCAAAUGUGGGAAACUUGACUACAUAAUUUGUGGUAGUGGGGCACUGCGUUCAAGCUCUCCCCUA
This is a small nuclear RNA of Suncus etruscus (white-toothed pygmy shrew), 165 nucleotides long. RefSeq annotates it as U1 spliceosomal RNA. The transcript has a single exon. The record is from RefSeq and is a predicted model, not a curated record. Lineage: Eukaryota; Metazoa; Chordata; Mammalia; Eulipotyphla; Soricidae.